Molecule: ribosomal RNA, 467 nt
Filed under: uncultured bacterium
Lineage: Bacteria
Description: bacterial SSU rRNA
Rfam family: Bacterial small subunit ribosomal RNA
Source: RNAcentral
GAGUUUGAUCGUGGCUCAGAACGAACGCUGGCGGCAGGCUUAACACAUGCAAGUCGAGCGCUGUAGCAAUACAGAGCGGCGCACGGGUGAGUAACACGUGGGAACAUGCCUUUCGGUUCGGAAUAACUCAGGGAAACUUGUGCUAAUACCGGAUACGCCCUUCGGGGAAAGAUUAUUGCCGAAAGAGUGGCCCGCGUCCGAUUAGCUAGUUGGCGGGGUAAAAGCCCACCAAGGCGACGAUCGGUAGCUGGUCUGAGAGGACGACCAGCCACACUGGGACUGAGACACGGCCCAGACUCCUACGGGAGGCAGCAGUGGGGAAUCUUGGACAAUGGGGGAAACCCUGAUCCAGCCAUGCCGCGUGAGUGAUGAAGGCCCUAGGGUUGUAAAACUCUUUCGGCGGGGACGAUAAUGACGGUACCCGCAGAAGAAGCUCCGGCUAACUUCGUGCCAGCCGCCGCGGUAAU